This is a non-coding RNA of Caranx melampygus (bluefin trevally), 70 nucleotides long. NCBI's taxonomy places the organism in Eukaryota, Metazoa, Chordata, Actinopteri, Carangiformes, Carangidae. The record is from the annotation of a GenBank genome assembly.
GGCGCGGUGGUGCAGUGGUCAGCAGCGUCCCCUCAGACCGUGAUGGCUGUGGGUUCGAUCCCCCGGGCUG